This 24-nucleotide non-coding RNA is filed under the name Arabidopsis thaliana (thale cress). Lineage: Eukaryota; Viridiplantae; Streptophyta; Magnoliopsida; Brassicales; Brassicaceae. The record is from RNAcentral.
UAUCUCCUACACUAUAGUGUCCCU